Molecule: ribosomal RNA, 348 nt
Filed under: Triticum aestivum (bread wheat)
Lineage: Eukaryota; Viridiplantae; Streptophyta; Magnoliopsida; Poales; Poaceae
Description: partial small subunit ribosomal RNA
Source: RNAcentral
AUGUGCAACCUGCAAGCCCUGGAGACAAGGGACCACCUUUUCUUUCAUUGUCAAUUUACACAAUUAUGCUGGAGCUACAUUUGCACCAAUUGGCAGCCAGCACAUACAGGCAUUCAGGAGGAAAUUAGCAACCUAAAGCAACUGCUGAGUGUACCAUAUGCGAUGAAGAUCAUCAUCCUAACCUGCUGGGCAAUCUGGACAACUAGGAAUGAUCACAUAUUCCAACACAUUCAGCCAAGCAUAUACAGAUGCAGAAAGAAGUUAAAAGAAGAACUCAAAUGGAUCAUCUACAGAGUCAAGAGGAAGGAAUACAGUGGAUUUGAGGCUUGGAUCAAAUCCUUUAGAUAA